RNAcentral lists this ribosomal RNA (799 nucleotides) under Comamonas sp. P2F11. RNAcentral describes it as "bacterial SSU rRNA". It matches the Rfam family "Bacterial small subunit ribosomal RNA", at positions 56 to 853 of the family's 1533-position model. The record is from RNAcentral. Lineage: Bacteria; Pseudomonadati; Pseudomonadota; Betaproteobacteria; Burkholderiales; Comamonadaceae.
UGCAAGUCGAACGGUAACAGGUCUUCGGAUGCUGACGAGUGGCGAACGGGUGAGUAAUACAUCGGAACGUGCCUAGUAGUGGGGGAUAACUACUCGAAAGAGUAGCUAAUACCGCAUGAGAUCUACGGAUGAAAGCAGGGGAUCGCAAGACCUUGUGCUACUAGAGCGGCUGAUGGCAGAUUAGGUAGUUGGUGGGGUAAAGGCUCACCAAGCCAACGAUCUGUAGCUGGUCUGAGAGGACGACCAGCCACACUGGAACUGAGACACGGCCCAGACUCCUACGGGAGGCAGCAGUGGGGAAUUUUGGACAAUGGGCGAAAGCCUGAUCCAGCAAUGCCGCGUGCAGGAUGAAGGCCCUCGGGUUGUAAACUGCUUUUGUACGGAACGAAAAGCUCUGGGCUAAUAUCCCGGAGUCAUGACGGUACCGUAAGAAUAAGCACCGGCUAACUACGUGCCAGCAGCCGCGGUAAUACGUAGGGUGCAAGCGUUAAUCGGAAUUACUGGGCGUAAAGCGUGCGCAGGCGGUUAUGUAAGACAGAGGUGAAAUCCCCGGGCUCAACCUGGGAACUGCCUUUGUGACUGCAUGGCUAGAGUACGGUAGAGGGGGAUGGAAUUCCGCGUGUAGCAGUGAAAUGCGUAGAUAUGCGGAGGAACACCGAUGGCGAAGGCAAUCCCCUGGACCUGUACUGACGCUCAUGCACGAAAGCGUGGGGAGCAAACAGGAUUAGAUACCCUGGUAGUCCACGCCCUAAACGAUGUCAACUGGUUGUUGGGUCUUAACUGACUCAGUAACGAAGCU